CAGCGUCAGAUGUGUAUAAGAGACAGGUGAGUCAUCGAAUCUUUGAACGCAGAUUGCGCCCUUUGGUAUUCCGAAGGGCAUGCCUGUUUGAGUGUCUUAUAAACCUCACCUCUACUGUUUUUCAUUAAACAUGUGGACUGGUGCUUUGGGUGUUGCCGUUUACUCUGGCUCGCCUUAAAUGUCUAAGUGGAAUGCGUAAUAAGUUCUUUCGCAACCCUCCACUCUAAUAACACACUUUAUACUCUGACCUCAAAUCAGGUAGGACUACCCGCUGAACUUAAGCAUAUCAAUAAGCGGAGG
RNAcentral lists this unclassified non-coding RNA (300 nucleotides) under uncultured Tremellales. RNAcentral's name for it is "sequence contains 5.8S rRNA gene, ITS2". The stretch from base 1 to 97 matches the Rfam family "5.8S ribosomal RNA", at positions 53 to 154 of the family's 154-position model. Lineage: Eukaryota; Fungi; Basidiomycota; Tremellomycetes; Tremellales. The record is from RNAcentral.